This is a non-coding RNA of Salvelinus sp. IW2-2015, 1177 nucleotides long. The record is from RefSeq and is a predicted model, not a curated record. NCBI's taxonomy places the organism in Eukaryota, Metazoa, Chordata, Actinopteri, Salmoniformes, Salmonidae.
CUUUGAUCUUGGAUAUUGCCUACUACUGAAAACUACUAACUAACGUUUCUCCUUCUCAUCAUUUUACAUUCAGAUUUGGAUGAAUGGACCAACCAGACCCUCAAGACUGCCAUGGGCAAGUCCCUUGAAGGGCAGGAAUGGUGGCAGGACAACCUGAAGGUAAUUCUCUUUGCACACAACAGCAGUGUCCAGGCCUCCAGAGUACUCACCCUAUCGCCUGGUGUACGGGCGGGAGCCGCAGCUGUUUACUGAGGUGAGACUGAACAUGGACAAGGCGCAGGAGAAACAGAAGGAGAGCCACCGGAGGAGAAUCAAGAAGGGGACCAAGUGCUUUGACAUCCGGGUGAAUGACUUGGCUUGGAAGAAGGACAAAAGGAGGGUGAGACCUGGGAAACCUUGCUGCUCUUUUGCUCCUAGCUGGGGUCCCCAUCUGUUAAGGUGAAUAUAAAAAUCUCAGAUGAUAACUCUUUGCAUUUGUCUCCUCGUGGUGGGCGGCAUCGCCAUGCUGUCAGCAGUAGCAACACUGGCCAACUACUGGGUCACGUUAAGUAACCUCAACUUCCUGGUAGGUACUGUUAAGGUGUAUGACUCCACUGGUCAUGACACCACCCUGGAGUUUCUCUCACAAAUUACAGACAGGUAUCUACAGCUAUUGUUAUUGUCAUGUUGUCAUUAGCUUCUAAGAAAGAGCAAGAAAACUAUCAUACUGGGCACAUAUUGUGUGAUAUACAGAUGCACAUACUAGCACUACGAACACUCGGAACAAAGAGAGCAUCAGUGCCUGGACUUCGCAGUCUCCCUCUUCCGAGUCCCCCUUCUGAGACUGGCUGCCUGUUGAGAACAAGUGACAGGCAAAACCUCCCACCCACACAGCACCCACCUCCUCUCUAUUCCACACACCAGAAUUCAGUAUUUCAGUUUUUGAUUGCCAUGUGAGUGUACAACAAAUCUGUGAAAGUAAAUUGACACGCGUACAAAAAAAUACAGACGUUUAUAUUUAAAUCUUAAAUAUUGCCAGAUUGGUUUCAACAACUGUUUCACAAGGUGUUCAUUAUUGUACAUUUGAACUUAUCCCUUGAUGGUAUUUGCUAGUUCUACAUUAUUAAUUGUUAUACCCUAGGACCUAAAAUAGAUAUAUAUUCAACCACAAGGGUGUACUAAUGAGCUAUGAUUUUUU